GCGCGAAAACUUUACAAUGCGGGAAACCGUGAUAAGGGAACUCUGAGUGCCCGUAAAAUCGGGCUGUCCAUCAGUUUAAAUAACUGGUGAAGAAAGGGCCGGGCAAGACCGGUGCCAGCCGCCGCGGUAAUACCGGCGGCUCGAGUGGUGGCCACUAUUACUGGGCUUAAAGCGUUCGUAGCUGGUUUGUUAAGUCUCUGGGGAAAUCUUCCGGCUUAACCGGAAGGCGUCUCAGGGAUACUGGCAGACUAGGGACCGGAAGAGGUGAGAGGUACUCCAGGGGUAGGAGUGAAAUCCUGUAAUCCUUGGGGGACCACCUGUGGCGAAGGCGUCUCACCAGAACGGCUCCGACAGUGAGGGACGAAAGCUGGGGGAGCAAACCGGAUUAGAUACCCGGGUAGUCCCAGCCGUAAACGAUGUGCAUUAGGUGUAUCGGUGACCACGAGUCACCGAGGUGCCGAAGAGAAAUCGUGAAAUGCACCGCCUGGGAAGUACGGUCGCAAGGCUGAAACUUAAAGGAAUUGGCGGGGGA
Molecule: ribosomal RNA, 532 nt
Filed under: uncultured Methanomicrobiales archaeon
Lineage: Archaea; Methanobacteriati; Methanobacteriota; Methanomicrobia; Methanomicrobiales
Description: bacterial SSU rRNA
Rfam family: Archaeal small subunit ribosomal RNA
Source: RNAcentral